Non-coding RNA from Pelobates cultripes (western spadefoot toad), 340 nucleotides. The record is from the annotation of a GenBank genome assembly. Lineage: Eukaryota; Metazoa; Chordata; Amphibia; Anura; Pelobatidae.
CAACAACCUGAACUGUGAAUGCAGCCAGAUUAGAAUUUUAUACAUUUUUAAAUUUCGGACAGGAAAUUGUUCAUCCGAAUCCUCAGAAGACUCCUGCGUCUUCUGAGGCAUUCUUGCUCUGUUUCUCAAGCGAUUACUACCUCUAUCUGCUGUGGAUUUACACACUUUUUGUAGGUGGCCCAUUUUACCACAAGCAUGACACUUGGCAUCCUUGAAUCUGCAUGUAGUUGCAACAUGUGUAGCAGCUCCGCAGCGAUAACAUUUGUAAUGUGAAUGUUCUUGUGUUGAAAGUCUCUUUCCCUGUGGUACACUGUGCUCUAGCAUCUAAUUUUAAAACUUC